UACAGAGGGUGCGAGCGUUGUCCGGAAUCACUGGGCGUAAAGGGCGCGUAGGUGGCCUGCUAAGUAGGGGGUGAAAUCUCGAGGCUCAACUUCGAGGCUGCCUUCUAAACUGUCGGGCUUGAGCAGAGUAGAGGCAGGUGGAAUUCCCGGUGUAGCGGUGGAAUGCGUAGAGAUCGGGAAGAACAUCGGUGGCGAAGGCGGCCUGCUGGGCUCUUGCUGACACUGAGGCGCGACAGCGUGGGGAGCAAACAGG
Molecule: ribosomal RNA, 253 nt
Filed under: uncultured bacterium
Lineage: Bacteria
Description: partial 16S ribosomal RNA
Rfam family: Bacterial small subunit ribosomal RNA
Source: RNAcentral